CCUACGGGAGGCAGCAGUAAGGAAUAUUGGACAAUGGGCGCAAGCCUGAUCCAGCCAUGCCGCGUGAAGGAUUAAGGUCCUCUGGAUUGUAAACUUCUUUUAUAGGGGACGAAAAAAGGGCAUUCUUGCUCACUUGACGGUACCCUAUGAAUAAGCACCGGCUAACUCCGUGCCAGCAGCCGCGGUAAUACGGAGGGUGCAAGCGUUAUCCGGAUUCACUGGGUUUAAAGGGUGCGUAGGCGGGCAGUUAAGUCAGUGGUGAAAUCUCCGAGCUCAACUCGGAAACUGCCAUUGAUACUAUCUGUCUUGAAUAUUGUGGAGGUAAGCGGAAUAUGUCAUGUAGCGGUGAAAUGCUUAGAUAUGACAUAGAACACCUAUUGCGAAGGCAGCUUACUACGCAUAUAUUGACGCUGAGGCACGAAAGCGUGGGGAUCAAACAGGAUUAGAUACCCUGGUAGUCCACGCCCUAAACGAUGGAUACUCGACAUACGCGAUACACUGUGUGUGUCUGAGCGAAAGCAUUAAGUAUCCCACCUGGGAAGUACGUCCGCAGGAUGAAACUUAAAGGAAUUAGACGG
Molecule: ribosomal RNA, 578 nt
Filed under: uncultured bacterium
Lineage: Bacteria
Description: bacterial SSU rRNA
Rfam family: Bacterial small subunit ribosomal RNA
Source: RNAcentral